AUUAGUUCUGAGGUAACAUCGUGAUCAUAAACAAAAUGGCGUCGUCAGUUGGAAGGUUAUGCUUGUCUGUCUCCAGAACAGUCGUCCCUCGCCGGACUUUCACCUCCGGAAAGGCCCUCCGCUGUCACCCACCUGGAAUUCCCAAUGACUCGAUGCCCUUCGUGUCAAGAGGGCUGAAUAAAAGUGCGUUCUCACUUGGAUAUGUGCUGUUUUUCACGACUGCAUUUUUGUGGCCGGUGUUGGCUGCUCGGGAUCAGAGCCUCAGGAUUGGCGCAGCCAUAGAGGAUCCGAGUGAAAGCUAAAGUUGUCUGGAGCGGACCCGGUAACGUCCACCACUGACAGGUUGCCAGACAGACCCGGAGUUUUAUAAUGAUUGGCUGGAUCCUUCUUUACUAGUUUUUUGAGCUGUGAAUAUAUUGGCCUGCUGGAGCAGAACUGACCAUUGUACUCCGCUGUGCGGCCAGUGUCCUAAAUUUUUGAUAUUUUUCGGCUGGACCCUUCUUCUGUGGAAGUUAUUGUAAAAUGUCUGAACUGUGAAUAAAUUAUUUGAAAUGUA
Molecule: long non-coding RNA, 556 nt
Organism: Mizuhopecten yessoensis (Yesso scallop)
Lineage: Eukaryota; Metazoa; Mollusca; Bivalvia; Pectinida; Pectinidae
Exons: 3
Source: RefSeq, a predicted model, not a curated record